AUUGAACGCUGGCGGCAGGCCUAACACAUGCAAGUCGAACGAGUCGCGGACGGGUGAGUAAUGUCUGGGAAACUUCCUGGGGGAGGGGUAUAACUACUGGAAACGGUAGCUACAACCGCAUACCAUCAGAGGUGCCCAGAUGGGAGUAGCUUGUGGGUGGGGUAACGGCUCACCAAGGCGACGAUCCCUAGCUGGUGUGAGAGGAUGACCAGCCACACUGGAACUGAGACACGGCCCAGACUCCUACGGGAGGCAGCAGUGGGGAAUAUUGGACAAUGGGGGCAAGCCUGAUGCAGCCAUGCCGCGUGUAUGAAGAAGGCCUUCGGGUUGUAAAGUACUUUCAGCGGGGAGGCGUUACCCGCAGAAGAAGCACCGGCUAACUCCGUGCCAGCAGCCGCGGUAAUUC
This 406-nucleotide ribosomal RNA is filed under the name uncultured bacterium. RNAcentral describes it as "partial 16S ribosomal RNA". It matches the Rfam family "Bacterial small subunit ribosomal RNA", at positions 30 to 526 of the family's 1533-position model. The record is from RNAcentral.